GCAGGUGUUAGUGAAGGCGCAACUUUAUUUCCUUAAACUAGCGCAGGGGCCCAUAGCGCCACGAGUCGACUCCGACCAAGCCUCGCCCAACUCCGGACUCCGACAGGGCCUCGCCAGUGGGUUCAGGGAUCCCCUAGUGGUAUAACCCACCCUACUCCUCCAGCGCAUCCACGUUGGCAGGCGGCAGGACUGACUCGGCCCUCCAGGCCUCCGCCAACGUUGACUCAGCCCCUCAGGCCUCCGCCAACAAUCCCCCCCCCAACGUGAUGCCUGGGUUUCGAACUCGAGACCUAUGGCUCUGAUACCAAUUGUCAGGAUCAAGCGCUACCAUUACAC
RNAcentral lists this long non-coding RNA (336 nucleotides) under Phoenix dactylifera (date palm). RNAcentral describes it as "long non-coding RNA (PDAC_LNC018930)". The record is from RNAcentral. Lineage: Eukaryota; Viridiplantae; Streptophyta; Magnoliopsida; Arecales; Arecaceae.